Molecule: transfer RNA, 72 nt
Rfam family: tRNA
About the family: Transfer RNA (tRNA) molecules are approximately 80 nucleotides in length. Their secondary structure includes four short double-helical elements and three loops (D, anti-codon, and T loops).
Source: Rfam
GGUUUCAUGGUCUAACGGUCAUGACUCCAGAUUCUGAUUCUGGCAGCGAGGGUUCGACUCCCUCUGAGACCU